This 496-nucleotide ribosomal RNA is filed under the name uncultured bacterium. RNAcentral describes it as "partial 16S ribosomal RNA". It matches the Rfam family "Bacterial small subunit ribosomal RNA", at positions 29 to 507 of the family's 1533-position model. The record is from RNAcentral.
AUGAACGCUGGCGGCGUGCCUAAUACAUGCCAGUCGAGCGAACAGACGAGGAGCCUGCUCCUCUGACGUUAGCGGCGGACGGGUGAGUAACACGUGGAUAACCUACCUAUAAGACUGGGAUAACUUCGGGAAACCGGAGCUAAUACCGGAUAAUAUAUUGAACCGCAUGGUUCAAUAGUGAAAGACGGUUUUGCUGUCACUUAUAGAUGGAUCCGCGCCGCAUUAGCUAGUUGGUAAGGUAACGGCUUACCAAGGCAACGAUGCGUAGCCGACCUGAGAGGGUGAUCGGCCACACUGGAACUGAGACACGGUCCAGACUCCUACGGGAGGCAGCAGUAGGGAAUCUUCCGCAAUGGGCGAAAGCCUGACGGAGCAACGCCGCGUGAGUGAUGAAGGUCUUCGGAUCGUAAAACUCUGUUAUUAGGGAAGAACAAAUGUGUAAGUAACUAUGCACGUCUUGACGGUACCUAAUCAGAAAGCCACGGCUAACUACGUG